UACGUAGGGUGCAAGCGUUGUCCGGAAUUAUUGGGCGUAAAGAGCUCGUAGGCGGUUUGUCGCGUCUGCUGUGAAAUCCCGAGGCUCAACUUCGGGUCUGCAGUGGGUACGGGCAGGCUAGAGUGCGGUAGGGGAGAAUGGAAUUCCUGGUGUAGCGGUGGAAUGCGCAGAUAUCAGGAGGAACACCGAUGGCGAAGGCAGUUCUCUGGGCCGUAACUGACGCUGAGGAGCGAAAGCGUGGGGAGCGAACAGG
Molecule: ribosomal RNA, 253 nt
Filed under: uncultured bacterium
Lineage: Bacteria
Description: partial 16S ribosomal RNA
Rfam family: Bacterial small subunit ribosomal RNA
Source: RNAcentral